GACGAACGCUGGCGGCGUGCCUAAUACAUGCCAGUAGAACGCACAGUUUCUACCUUAGCUUGCUACACCAUAGACUGUGAGUUGCGAACGACUGAGUUACGCGUCGGUUACCUUCCUGGUAGCGUGGGGUAACUAUUGGUAACACUAGCUAAUACCUCCUAAUAUUAAUUAUUGCUUGAUAAUUUUUUGAAAGUUGCAACUGCAUCACUACCUGAUGGACCUGCGUUGUAUUAGCUAGUAGGUGGGGUAAAGGCGCACCUAGGCGACGCAACAUAGCCGACCGGAGAGGGUGAUCGGCCAAACUGGGACGGGGACACGGCCCAGACGGCUACGGGAGGCAGCAGUAGGGAAACUUCGGGAAUGGACGAAAGUCUGACCGAGCAACGCCGCGUGAGUGAAGAAGGAGUUCGGAUCGUAAAGCUCGGUUGUAAGGGAAGAACGGGUGUGAGAGUGGAAAGAUCACACAGUGACGGUAACGUACCAGAAAGGGACGGCUAACUACGUG
Molecule: ribosomal RNA, 505 nt
Filed under: uncultured bacterium
Lineage: Bacteria
Description: partial 16S ribosomal RNA
Rfam family: Bacterial small subunit ribosomal RNA
Source: RNAcentral